This is a long non-coding RNA of Neopsephotus bourkii (Bourke's parrot), 797 nucleotides long. RefSeq lists it as uncharacterized. The record is from RefSeq and is a predicted model, not a curated record. NCBI's taxonomy places the organism in Eukaryota, Metazoa, Chordata, Aves, Psittaciformes, Psittacidae. The transcript has 3 exons.
UUGUGCUUCUUUUUCUUCUGAUGUAGAGGUAUGAAGUCCCAUCCUCUUUGCUGGGUAAAAGCUGCUGGGUUCUCCUGGAAAUCAGGUUGCAACCACUGUGUGAGUUAGCUUCCAGAUAUGUUUGUCAGGGCUACUGAACCUUGCUUGUGUGUCCCAAGGAGACUUCUGCUUCCAACUGGCUAUGUUGGAGCAACCUUGGGCAUGGUUAUGCGUGCAGCAGUCCUGUCUGCAACAGAGAUACAGCUGAUUGAGCUGCAGCAGUGAUGGUUUGCUCUGCAAGCUACCUGCAACCACUCCUGGACAGUGAGCAGCUCCUACUUUGGCUUGCACCCUCCAAGCAAGCUCUGGUGAAGAAAACUAGAGAAAGGAAGAAGGAAUUGGGAACAACUGUAAUAAAGUCAUGAACUUGGGAAGACAGACUCUGGAGUCCUCUGAAUGUUUUCUUUCAGAAAUAAACCAAAAAUGCAUCCUGGCCAAACCUUAGCUUCCUGAAAAAUUGACAGAAUUAAUUUCUUUUCCAUAAUAUAGAUUAUCCUUUUGGAAAAAUAACUGGAGUCUUACUAACCCAUGCAGAAUAGAUUGUCCAGUUUUCUACGGCUGCUGCCAUAGGUCCUAGCCUAAUUAUGCGUAUGAAGUGUAGGCAAGUGUAAUUAUGAUACAGGCAGAUUUAUUUGUCCUCAGACAGGUUUUCAAAUAACAAAAGAAUAUAAAUAUUGGAUGUAUGGAAAGAAAAUGUCCAUUAUUAAAAUCAAUCCACAAGCUUGUACCAUAAAAAAAUCUCUCUUUAACACAGCUGU